RNAcentral lists this long non-coding RNA (1014 nucleotides) under Crocodylus porosus (Australian saltwater crocodile). Its description in RNAcentral is "lncRNA (ENSCPRG00005007007.1)". Lineage: Eukaryota; Metazoa; Chordata; Crocodylia; Crocodylidae. The record is from RNAcentral.
CUGGUUAAUAGAGUUUCAGGUUAAUUAAAGACUGGAUAACAGGGAUUUUACUGUAUUACAAAUCUGAGCCUACUGCAGUCCUUGGGGUUUUGCCAUUGAGCUAACUUGCAGGCCUUUCAACUAUUUUUAUCCUCUAAAGGGUAUACACCACGUUGCAUUGAAGAGUUCUGUUUUUUGGCCCAGAUUCUGAUACCUCCUACCUAUUCUGAGUAGUACCUUACUUUACAGAGGGCGCCAAAGACUUAAUUUGCACAAUAGAUGACCCCAUUUAGCUACACGAGGGUGUGUGACCAGUGUGAACAGAACUGAGCUCAGCACAGGCAAAGUAACUUUCCUCUUGCUUUUGUAUCACUGGAAUUUGUCAUUGGCAAAAGCAAUAAUACAAGCAGCAGAAACCUAGGGUAGGUUCAGAGUUGCCAGCUCUCCUGGUUUUUUUGGCUGAAGUCGGAGCCAGUCUGGAAAUCACCAGAGAAGCAAAAUCUUUUCAGCAUUCGAACCAUGCCUGAGACAAACCUUUUUUAAUUGACUCCUUCAUCCACUUGCCUGCCUCCUAAGAAAGAGCAUCUCAUCAGGACUGCUGCUGGAAGCUCUGUCCUUUUGCCUAUGUAAGGCAGAAUCCCUCCAUGAGGAACGUCACUUGAAGCAGUGCUUUCUACAGCUGUACUACAAAUGCAGUAUGUCUACGUGUUUAUCAUCAAUUGGUGUGUAGGAGGGCAAGCUUGCAGUCACGUUGUUGCCUAGUACUUUCAGCUGCCAUGCUGGGGCCUACCUGUAGUGGGACACAUGUGACUUCCUUAUGACUUUCUUCUGCAUUGAUAUGCUGAGAAAGGAAAGAAACUUGCUCUUUCCUCACCUUACCCCAGUCUAAAAUAAUUCAGGUGGACUGAGAUAGCCAUAAUUUGACUUAUUUGCAAUAUUCAGUUAUUUUUACAAAAUUGUUCUAAACUUGGAGAGAAGCAAAUAACUUCUCCUUUAGGAGAAAGAAGAAGUUAAUAAUAAAAGUCAAGAAUGAAG